Mytilus trossulus (common blue mussel) is the source of this 537-nucleotide long non-coding RNA. RefSeq lists it as uncharacterized. The transcript is spliced from 2 exons. Lineage: Eukaryota; Metazoa; Mollusca; Bivalvia; Mytilida; Mytilidae. The record is from RefSeq and is a predicted model, not a curated record.
GAAAUACAAACUUGAAAAUGAGUAUGUUUAAAAAUCUGAAUAUGACGGUGUCGUUUCGAAAAGAAUUCUCUUGCCAGAAACCCCUUCUCAUCAGCCUGUCGCAUUUUCUGCUUUUGUGACAGAUUUAGACGAUGGUCCAACAAUAGAUAAACAUAGGGAGAUUGUGCUCAAUAAAAUAGAGACAAACGUUGGAAAUGCAUACGACAGUUUCACAGGAACAUUUCGUGCGCUUCAAAGUGGUAAUUAUGCUUUUUCUUGGACAAUAUUCGUCCAUGGAGGAAGUUCAGUUUCAAAUCUAGGCGAAAUAUUGACUGAACUUAUUGUCAAUGGACAGGUUCAUGGAAACUUACACGCCGAUACCGAGACAAUUGGAGAUGAUGACUCCGCUACAGGUUUUGUAAUCAAGACUCUGUCGAAAGACGAUGUAGUAUUUAUUCGUUCUGGAAAUUCAUGGGUUCCACAGGGUGUUUUGCACGGACAUAUGAGAUGGACAUUUUCGGGAUGGCUUAUUGAUUAAAAUGCAAUAUAUUCUCUGGU